RNAcentral lists this non-coding RNA (137 nucleotides) under uncultured eukaryote. The record is from RNAcentral.
GUUGUUGUUGUUGUUGUUAUUUUAAGCAUCCGUUCACAACUACUCACGAUUUUCUUACCCCCCCCAACACAUUUUGUAGCACACGGCUGGAGGGCGAAUGAUUGGUGGCCGUCUUUCUUCCGUUCUGCUUGGAGGGA